RNAcentral lists this ribosomal RNA (407 nucleotides) under uncultured prokaryote. RNAcentral describes it as "bacterial SSU rRNA". It matches the Rfam family "Bacterial small subunit ribosomal RNA", at positions 355 to 774 of the family's 1533-position model. The record is from RNAcentral.
UGGGGAAUAUUGGACAAUGGGCGAAAGCCUGAUCCAGCAACGCCGCGUGAGGGAUGACGGCCUUCGGGUUGUAAACCUCUUUCAGCAGGGACGAAGCGAAAGUGACGGUACCUGCAGAAGAAGGACCGGCCAACUACGUGCCAGCAGCCGCGGUAAUACGUAGGGUCCGGGCGUUGUCCGGAAUUAUUGGGCGUAAAGGGCUCGUAGGCGGUCUGUCGCGUCGGGAGUGAAAACUCAGGGCUCAACCCUGAGCGUGCUUCCGAUACGGGCAGACUAGAGGUAUGCAGGGGAGAACGGAAUUCCUGGUGUAGCGGUGGAAUGCGCAGAUAUCAGGAGGAACACCGGUGGCGAAGGCGGUUCUCUGGGCAUUACCUGACGCUGAGGAGCGAAAGCAUGGGGAGCGAACA